UUACCCUACGGGGCGCAGCAGUGGGGAAUAUUGCACAAUGGGGGAAACCCUGAUGCAGCAACGCCGCGUGAGUGAAGAAGUAUUUCGGUACGUAAAGCUCUAUCAGCAGGAAAGAAAAUGAUGGUACCUGACUAAGAAGCCCCGGCUAACUACGUGCCAGCAGCCGCGGUAAUACGUAGGGGGCAAGCGUUAUCCGGAUUUACUGGGUGUAAAGGGAGCGUAGACGGCAGCGCAAGUCUGGAGUGAAAUGCCGGGGCCCAACCCCGGACCUGCUCUGGAAACUGUGAAGCUGAAGUGCAGGAGAG
Molecule: ribosomal RNA, 305 nt
Filed under: uncultured bacterium
Lineage: Bacteria
Description: bacterial SSU rRNA
Rfam family: Bacterial small subunit ribosomal RNA
Source: RNAcentral